Molecule: microRNA precursor, 105 nt
Filed under: Mesocricetus auratus (golden hamster)
Lineage: Eukaryota; Metazoa; Chordata; Mammalia; Rodentia; Cricetidae
Description: miRNA (ENSMAUG00000004217.1)
Source: RNAcentral
UGUGGCAUUGUUGGAGGACAUGUGUCACUGGGGGUAGGCUUUGAGGUUUCAGAAGUUCAAGCCAGGCCUGGUGGGUCACUCUUUCUGCCUGCUGCCUACCAAUCC